AUAUGUUUGAGUUCUGAUGUAGGAAGAGAUGAUUGUAGUGUGAGUGUAAGGGUGUUUUUAUUUAGGAUCUAGAGCCCAAACUACUAGACUUCACACUUGAGUUUUCCCCCAACUUUAACCAGUCCUAAUAUAGAGGGUGAGGAUCACAGGUUGACAUCUAGAAGAGCUGAGAAUAACUCCGUGUUAUUGCAAAGGCAGGUGGCUGGGAGGAAGGAAGAUUUUAAACUGAUAAAUUCAGGCCUGGCUCUGUUGCAGUCUAGGAACUGGCAGUCUCAUAGCUAGGGCCAUCCUUCUUUCUCGAUGGUUCCAGCAGAGUUGCCCCAGUGAAGGAAGGUGUGGCUCAGUGCGUGUGUACACCAGGCAUCACUGGGAGCCUGAAGCAGCC
RNAcentral lists this long non-coding RNA (385 nucleotides) under Bos taurus (domestic cattle). Its description in RNAcentral is "long non-coding RNA NONBTAT020467". Lineage: Eukaryota; Metazoa; Chordata; Mammalia; Artiodactyla; Bovidae. The record is from RNAcentral.